ACACAUUCCUUCUCUUGUACGAAGACAAAAAACCUCAUAAAAAUAAUUUGCCUGUCGACAUAAAUUGAACUUCUUAUGUAUAUUACAGUAUAAAUUUUUCUGAGCAUCUUCAAGAUUGGAAAACUAAGAUGAAGAAUAUCGCAAUUUUUCUUGCUGUAGUCAUGUUAGUUCUUAGCCAGGACAUUUCUCCAGUUGAAUGUCGGACAUUGAAGAUCAGUUCACCAAUACGGUUAAGCACACAGCCACCAUUCUACGCAUGGGAACGGAAAAAGCGCAGUGGGGAAACUGAUGUAAAUUUGCAGAUAAAAGAAAGAGAGAACACGGUCAUUGGACAAGCAAAAGGUUAAGAAGUAUCACUGAACAAUCGGAUUCACAAUGUUAUGGCGGGUUUCGGAAUUAAACAUAAAUUGCAUAAACAAA
Long non-coding RNA from Styela clava, 420 nucleotides. RefSeq lists it as uncharacterized. Lineage: Eukaryota; Metazoa; Chordata; Ascidiacea; Stolidobranchia; Styelidae. The record is from RefSeq and is a predicted model, not a curated record.